UCUCCGUUGGUGAACCAGCGGAGGGAUCAUUACAGGGUUGCAAAACUCCCAAACCCUUGUGAACGUUACCUAUCCCGUUGCUUCGGCGGGCGGCCCGGGCCCCGCGCCCGGCGCCCCCCGGCCCCCCGUGGGCGCCCGCCGGAGGUAAACCAAACCCUUGAAUUGCAUGGCCUCUCUGAGUCUUCUGUACUGAAUAAGUCAAAACUUUCAACAACGGAUCUCUUGGUUCUG
This 231-nucleotide unclassified non-coding RNA is filed under the name plant metagenome. RNAcentral's name for it is "partial contains small subunit ribosomal RNA, internal transcribed spacer 1, and 5.8S ribosomal RNA". The record is from RNAcentral.